Molecule: long non-coding RNA, 4009 nt
Filed under: Triticum aestivum (bread wheat)
Lineage: Eukaryota; Viridiplantae; Streptophyta; Magnoliopsida; Poales; Poaceae
Description: long non-coding RNA (TAES_LNC027373)
Source: RNAcentral
UUGUCUUUGUCCUCCUACGCCUCUUCGGUCGCCUAGGCUUGUAAAGGGCGGCGGCGGCGUCCGUGCAGUUUCUUUGGUCGUUGAUUUCAUCUCCUGCGGACCUGCAGCCCUCUUGAAUCUAUCUUGAGUAUGAGAUUGCUGGCUACGUUUUCUUUCACAAGUGCGCAAAGCAGACACAUCGUUUCAAUUUCUGCUCGAGGUAGCCCGGCACAUCAUCCUCAUCCUUCACAGCGGUAACAUUCUUCAAAGUUCGACCUGAAGGUCCCUAUUUUCCUUUUCCGACUCUGUAAUUUAUCCCCUUUUUCUUAUCUUUUUUCAGUAUAAUGUAAUCAACGAAAUGACUUUUAGUGGUAAACAUUUCAUAAUUUUUCUUUCUAAUCUCGGAAAAACAUAUGUUUUUUUGUAAGUGCUCUAUAACUGUUGAAUAAGGUAGUAGUACAUAGUAGCUAGUAAUAAGUUCAUGAAAAUUUUAAAAUUUACUUGCAUGUAUGAGCAGACAUACCAAUCAAAAUUAGUACUAUAUCGAUAUAUUAAUUUAUACUGAUCCAAAUUAGAACACGGAAUGGAACUUUGUGUUUAUCUUAAAAACAAUACAAGAAAGUAUGUACUUUUGACCUCACUGCUAGAUUUGUUUCUUUUCACAACUCUUCAUGGUUUCUUGUUGGUAGGGCCUUUUGACAUGUGUAUAGUUUUGUUCGCGAUCUUUAUCUGAAUCAUCCUCUUUGGUAAUUAUAUCUGAACCUGCAGCUCAAAUGUUCCGUACCUCCUUGUCAAAUAGAUUUUCCAGUUUUUUGUCGGCGGUUUCUCUGUUUUUAAGGCGUCCCGCCUUGGACGCUUAGGCGACGCUUAGGCGAUAAGGCGCCCCGCCAGCGCCUUACAAAUAUGCCCGCCUUAGGCGCUUAGGCGUCCGCCUUAGGCGCUUAGGCGUCGCCUAGGCGAUAAGGCGCCCCCCCAACGCCUUAGAUCGCCUUACCGCCUUAAAAACAUAGGCGGUAUCAUGAAAUAAUAGUAGUAUUAAUAUAUACAGAAGAGGGAAAAUAAUUUGAACGAAUACCUAUCGAACAGAUUUUUCUCUAUAAGAACUUUUUGUUAUUUCACGAAGCCUUUCUUUUCAAAUCCUGUUUACAUCUCUUACAUUUUGUCUCUCGUUUUAUCUUCUGCGAAACAGUUUUUGGCUCUGCCUGUGUGGUUUGUGAUGUCAUAAAUAAAUACGCCGUAAAAACUAUUAAUGCAUAUACAGGGUGAAAAUGUUUUCAAUUUGUUACCUUGUCAUCAGGAGCUUCAGUUUUAACAAUUAGUUUUCUGCUAUUACCGGAAGAAAACAUUGACACAUCUUUUUCAUAUUUUUGCUAGACUUCUGUCUCUUUGUCCUCCAUUGUUGUUGUUUUUUUAGAUGAUUUAGAAGUUACCUUUCUGCACAUAUCCUUGUUCUCAUCUUUUGUCGUAGUCUUGGAAGAGUGGUUGCCCGAUAAAAGUAAAAUUAUUUUUUAAUAUUUUAAAGAAAAAUGUGCACACUUGUGACAGCUAAACCAUUAAUUAGUGGCAAUACCUCAUUAUAUGACUUCUGUGUAAUAGAAUUUGAAGAACCCUGUGUAUCUUGCCUUUCCAGUAUGCCCUAUAAAGAACGUAUUGACUUUAUAAGUUCAUAAACCAUUUAAAAUACUAAAAUGUGCAUGUGCAUACCUCUUCAACUAUUUCAUUUGAAUAUUCCAUCUCAAGUUUGUUGUCAUUUUCAAAAGUGAAGCUCGCUUUAAAAUAUUCCAUGCACUCUUGUAGAUUCCUUUAAUAUGAAAUAGCCAACUAUAGCCCCACUAUAGCUGAUGUGAAGGAUUGCUGCUAUUUGGCAUAGCCCGCUAUUUGAUACAUUGGUUCAUACCUAAGCACUGUUUAUCUAUAUUCACCCUACUCUACAAGGUAUCACUAUCAGCAAAUUCGAAGUGGUAGUCUAAAAACUUGGAUUUUUCUCCAUCCACUUCCUUCACUGUUGUAUACAAAAGAAACUGAUUUUAAGAUUGUCCUUCAAUGGUCGGUAUUUUUCAUACUUCCAGACUUUGAAGGUCUUAGCUAUGUAGAUGGAGUCCUCUUUAAUUUUUGCUUUAAAUUUAUUGACCAGUUUGCUCCCAAUGGAAGCAUGGAUCACAUUGCCCUACAUAGAGAGAAAACAUUAGCAAACUUUGGUAAAGGAAAACUUAAGAGACAUUAUAUAUGUAAUACUUGCACCUUAUACAUAAAAAUCAAUCUGUGCUAAUGAGUUCAUUAGUCAAUAAGUUAAUUGUGUCCCAAAGUCUUAAAACUUUGAUUGUCCAUGUCUCGUUUCGUGUAGUCAAUGCAUUCAAUGGUGUAGGUGCCAUAUUCUUUGAGGCCCUAAAAAAUAAGAACAAAAUGUUGAUUAGUAAAGUAAGUUAUGCCAUGCAAGCUUUAUAAAUCCAAAAAAUAUUGUUGCAACUGCCUCCAGUGAUUGUGUGACAACAAAAAAGAUUGAAGAUUUUUUAGACUGGAAUAGAUAUAUGAAAUCAUAGUAGAUUAAUAAAUACAAUUUUAUUAACAGCUGGUCUGAAAUUUUUGUUUCAGAUGAAGCUGCUGGCAUUACGACAGGAACCCACUAUCGAAUUUGAGGUUGGUCAAAUAUGAAAACUAUCUAUAUAUGUUUCUCUAUAUUGCAGCAAGCAACCCCAUUCGUUUCUGUUAUAGAUGUAGUAUGGAUCUAGUCUUCUAGAGUAUAUUAUCUUUAACAUGAAUACACUAGAACCAACAUCCAUGGCAUCAACUUUCUGUAGAUGAAUAAAAGUAUGAACGUGCAAGUUGCAACCAUUAAGAUAUGAACGUGCAACCAUUAAGAUAGGAACCCAUACCUAUAGAAUUGCAUUACUUAAUGUAGAAUACACUUCAUAAUUUCUUUUGUUUCUACAUAACAAACCUUGUGAGGUAACAUGUCUAAUCUUUUAAGAUUAGCACUGCCAACAGUAUAAUUGAAGUAUUAUUGAUCCCUUAAGAGGUCUGAUCUAUAAUAUGAAAACCAUCUGAUGUACCAUAUAUGUUACUCUAUGUCGCAGCAAGCAAUCCCACUUGUUUCUGUUAUAGUUGUAGUAUAAUUCUAAUUUAUAGUGUACAACCUUAACGUGAAUACACUGGAUGCACCAUUCAUGACAUCAGCCUUCUCUAGAUGAGUAAAAAGCAUGAACGCUACACCAUUAAGAUAGGAACCCACACAUAUAGAAUUCUACAUAAUCAACCUUCUGAGGUAACAUGUGAAAUCUUUUUAGAUGAGCGUUGCUUGAGCAUUAUUGAACUAUAAUUGAUCCAUUAACAUGCCUCAUCUAUUUUUUUUACAGAUUGUACUUACUUGGUAUGGUCUGAUUGCUCGACGGAGCUAGCUUGUGCCCGCUGGAGGAAGACAAUUCUGAAGUGCCACUGGUUGUUGGAAGUGGACAUCGAAGUGUUGUUCGUUAGAGGAAGAUAAUGUAGAAAUUGUACCCUAAAACCUAGAGGACAAUGAACCUCUGAGGCUUUGCAGAUUGUACUUACUUGAUAUGGUCUGAUUGCUCGAUGGAGCUUGCUUGUGCCCGCUGGAGGAAGACAAUUCUGAAGUGCCACUGGUUGGGAAAAGUUGACCUCAAAGUGUUGUUCGCCGGAGGAAGAUGAUGUAGAAAUUGUACCCUAAAACCUAGAGGACAAUGAACCUCUGACGCCGUGGAAGCAUUGCAUGGGGAGGUAGUCUAGGGAUGUCUGAGUUUACCAAGUUUGCACGAUGGAAAGAGAGAUAUUCUGUUUGCAGAGAUUGAAUCUUUGUACAUUAUUGAUGAUAGUUUGGAUUUGUUUGGGGAUAUUGUAUCUGCAUGCUGCAUGCGUUAGUUUUUUGGGAAUUGUCUCAUCGCUCAUGGUAUGGUACAAUCUGUACGUGUGGGAGAUGCAAAAAUCAUGUUCGUGUGGGAUGACCCAACUUGUAUGCGUUUCUUUAACAUUGUAUGUUUUUUUGUUGAACGUCCAACCUGGGAUUGUGAAAUCUGAU